Hemiscyllium ocellatum (epaulette shark) is the source of this 234-nucleotide long non-coding RNA. RefSeq lists it as uncharacterized. NCBI's taxonomy places the organism in Eukaryota, Metazoa, Chordata, Chondrichthyes, Orectolobiformes, Hemiscylliidae. The record is from RefSeq and is a predicted model, not a curated record. The transcript is spliced from 3 exons.
AGAAACUGAAAUUGGUGACAUGAUCCUGUAGAUUGUCAAUCUCAAACAAAAAGAUGAACAAAGGAAUUGAUCUGCCCUGUUCUGGGCUUCUGAAUUCUAGGAGGACUCUUCAGUGAACUUUGUUACCUUUGUCCAGCAAAACCUAAAACCAGACUUAACCUGUACAUUUGCACAAACCCUGCGGUUUGCAGAUCUGCCAAGUCACACUCACUCAGAGUGAUCAUUAUGUUGCUG